Molecule: ribosomal RNA, 110 nt
Filed under: Hordeum cordobense
Lineage: Eukaryota; Viridiplantae; Streptophyta; Magnoliopsida; Poales; Poaceae
Source: RNAcentral
UAGUGCUGUUAUGAUCGGCAUGAUCCUAUCAGGACUCCGAAGUUAAGCAUGUUUGGGCGAGAGUAGUACUAGGAUAGGUGACCUCCUGGGAAGUUCUCGUGUUGCAUUCC